This 2907-nucleotide ribosomal RNA is filed under the name Morganella morganii subsp. morganii. Its description in RNAcentral is "23S ribosomal RNA". It matches the Rfam family "Bacterial large subunit ribosomal RNA". The record is from RNAcentral. RNAcentral also lists the same sequence under 1 other name. Lineage: Bacteria; Pseudomonadati; Pseudomonadota; Gammaproteobacteria; Enterobacterales; Morganellaceae.
UUAAGCGAAUAAGCGUACACGGUGGAUGCCUAGGCAGUCAGAGGCGAUGAAGGACGUGCUAAUCUGCGAUAAGCGCCGGUAAGGUGAUAUGAACCGUUAUAACCGGCGAUUUCCGAAUGGGGAAACCCAGUGCAAUUCGUUGCACUAUCAUUACCUGAAUACAUAGGGUAAUGAAGCGAACCGGGAGAACUGAAACAUCUAAGUACCCCGAGGAAAAGAAAUCAAACGAGAUUCCCCCAGUAGCGGCGAGCGAACGGGGAGCAGCCCAGGACCUUAAUCAGCAUCAGUGUUAAGAGAACAGUCUGGAAAGGCUGGCCACAGCAGGUGAUAGCCCUGUAUCUGAAAGCACUGGUGUUGUGAGUCCGAUGAGUAAGGCGGGACACGUGUUAUCCUGUCUGAAUACGGGGGGACCAUCCUCCAAGGCUAAAUACUCCUGACUGACCGAUAGUGAACCAGUACCGUGAGGGAAAGGCGAAAAGAACCCCGGCGAGGGGAGUGAAAAAGAACCUGAAACCGUGUACGUACAAGCAGUGGGAGCACCCUUCGGGGUGUGACUGCGUACCUUUUGUAUAAUGGGUCAGCGACUUAUAUUCUGUAGCAAGGUUAACCGAAUAGGGGAGCCGCAGGGAAACCGAGUCUUAACUGGGCGAAUUAGUUGCAGGGUAUAGACCCGAAACCCGGUGAUCUAGCCAUGGGCAGGUUGAAGGUUGGGUAACACUAACUGGAGGACCGAACCGACUAAUGUUGAAAAAUUAGCGGAUGACUUGUGGCUGGGGGUGAAAGGCCAAUCAAACCGGGAGAUAGCUGGUUCUCCCCGAAAGCUAUUUAGGUAGCGCCUCGUGAAUUCAUCUCCGGGGGUAGAGCACUGUUUCGGCUAGGGGGUCAUCCCGACUUACCAACCCGAUGCAAACUGCGAAUACCGGAGAAUGUUAUCACGGGAGACACACGGCGGGUGCUAACGUUCGUCGUGAAGAGGGAAACAACCCAGACCGCCGGCUAAGGUCCCAAAGUCAUAAUUAAGUGGGAAACGAAGUGGGAAGGCUCAGACAGCCAGGAUGUUGGCUUAGAAGCAGCCAUCAUUUAAAGAAAGCGUAAUAGCUCACUGGUCGAGUCGGCCUGCGCGGAAGAUGUAACGGGGCUAAAUUAUGCACCGAAGCCGCGGCAGCGAUAUGUAAAUAUUGUUGGGUAGGGGAGCGUUCUGUAAGCCUGUGAAGGUGUGCUGUGAGGCAUGCUGGAGGUAUCAGAAGUGCGAAUGCUGACAUAAGUAACGAUAAUGCGGGUGAAAAACCCGCACGCCGGAAGACCAAGGGUUCCUGUCCAACGUUAAUCGGGGCAGGGUGAGUCGACCCCUAAGGCGAGGCUGAAAAGCGUAGUCGAUGGGCAACGGGUUAAUAUUCCCGUACUGGUGGUAACUGCGAAGGGGGGACGGAGAAAGCUAAAUCAUCCGGGCGACGGUUGUCCCGGUUUAAGCGUGCAGGUGGACUGACCAGGCAAAUCCGGUCGGUUGUUAACACUGAGGCGUGACGACGAGCCACUACGGUGGUGAAGUGAUUGAUGCUCUGCUUCCGGGAAAAGCCUCUAAGCUCCAGGUUACCAUUAAUCGUACCCCAAACCGACACAGGUGGUCAGGUAGAGAAUACUCAGGCGCUUGAGAGAACUCGGGUGAAGGAACUAGGCAAAAUGGUGCCGUAACUUCGGGAGAAGGCACGCUGGCAUUAGGUGAAGUGGUUUACCCACGGAGCUGAAGCCAGCCGCAGAUACCAGCUGGCUGCAACUGUUUAUUAAAAACACAGCACUGUGCAAACACGAAAGUGGACGUAUACGGUGUGACGCCUGCCCGGUGCCGGAAGGUUAAUUGAUGAGGUCAGCCGCAAGGCGAAGCUUCUGAUCGAAGCCCCGGUAAACGGCGGCCGUAACUAUAACGGUCCUAAGGUAGCGAAAUUCCUUGUCGGGUAAGUUCCGACCUGCACGAAUGGCGUAAUGAUGGCCAGGCUGUCUCCACCCGAGACUCAGUGAAAUUGAACUCGCUGUGAAGAUGCAGUGUACCCGCGGCAAGACGGAAAGACCCCGUGAACCUUUACUAUAGCUUGACACUGAACAUUGAGCCUUGAUGUGUAGGAUAGGUGGGAGGCAACGAAGUGUGGACGCCAGUCUGCACGGAGCCAUCCUUGAAAUACCACCCUUUAACGUUUGAUGUUCUAACCCGGGUCCAUAAUCUGGAUCGGGGACCGUGUCUGGUGGGUAGUUUGACUGGGGCGGUCUCCUCCCAAAGAGUAACGGAGGAGCACGAAGGUUGGCUAAGCAUGGUCGGACAUCAUGCGGUUAGUGCAAAGGCAUAAGCCAGCUUGACUGCGAGAGUGACGGCUCGAGCAGGUACGAAAGUAGGUCUUAGUGAUCCGGUGGUUCUGAAUGGAAGGGCCAUCGCUCAACGGAUAAAAGGUACUCCGGGGAUAACAGGCUGAUACCGCCCAAGAGUUCAUAUCGACGGCGGUGUUUGGCACCUCGAUGUCGGCUCAUCACAUCCUGGGGCUGAAGUAGGUCCCAAGGGUAUGGCUGUUCGCCAUUUAAAGUGGUACGCGAGCUGGGUUUAGAACGUCGUGAGACAGUUCGGUCCCUAUCUGCCGUGGGCGCUGGAGAACUGAGGGGGGCUGCUCCUAGUACGAGAGGACCGGAGUGGACGCAUCACUGGUGUUCGGGUUGUCAUGCCAAUGGCACUGCCCGGUAGCUAAAUGCGGAAGAGAUAAGUGCUGAAAGCAUCUAAGCACGAAACUUGCCCCGAGAUGAGUUCUCCCUGACCCUUUAAGGGUCCUGAAGGAACGUUGAAGACGACGACGUUGAUAGGCCGGGUGUGUAAGCGCAGCGAUGCGUUGAGCUAACCGGUACUAAUGAACCGUGAGGCUUAACCUU